Molecule: ribosomal RNA, 383 nt
Filed under: Sinotaia quadrata histrica
Lineage: Eukaryota; Metazoa; Mollusca; Gastropoda; Architaenioglossa; Viviparidae
Description: partial 16S rRNA
Rfam family: Bacterial large subunit ribosomal RNA
Source: RNAcentral
UCAAUUGUCUUAUAAUUGAAGACUGGAAUGAAUGGUUGAACGAAAUUAAAACUGUUUCAUUUGUAUUAAUUAGAAAUUGGUUUUUAAAUGAAGAGAUUUAAAUUUAAUUAAUAGACAAGAAGACCCUAUUGAGCUUAAAAUAACUUUAAAAUUAAAAAUUUAUUAUUAGAGAUUUAAGUUUUAAAUGUUUUUUAGUUGGGGCGACUAAGGAACAGGAGAAGCUUCCUUUAUUUGUUAAAUUGAUGAAUUUUGAUCCAGUAUUGAGCUGAUUAAUGGAGAUAGUUACCAUAGGGAUAACAGCAUAAUCUUCUUGGAGAGUUCUUAUCAAAAAGGGGGGUUGUGACCUCGAUGUUGGAUUAAAAUAUCCUAAGGGGUGUAGAGGC